RNAcentral lists this ribosomal RNA (493 nucleotides) under uncultured bacterium. Its description in RNAcentral is "partial 16S ribosomal RNA". It matches the Rfam family "Bacterial small subunit ribosomal RNA", at positions 28 to 507 of the family's 1533-position model. The record is from RNAcentral.
GACGAACGCUGGCGGCGUGCUUAACACAUGCAAGUCGAACGGUGAAGGGACCGGUUUUUGCUGGUUCUGGAUGAGUGGCGAACGGGUGAGUAACACGUGAGUAACCUGCCCCCUUCUUCUGGAUAACCGCAUGAAAGUGUGGCUAAUACGGGGUAUUCUGCGCCUGCUGCAUGGUGGGUGUGGGAAAGAUAUUGUUUCGGUGGGGGAUGGGCUCGCGGCCUAUCAGCUUGUUGGUGGGGUGAUGGCCUACCAAGGCGGUGACGGGUAGCCGGCCUGAGAGGGUGGACGGUCACACUGGGACUGAGACACGGCCCAGACUCCUACGGGAGGCAGCAGUGGGGAAUAGUGCACAAUGGGCGCAAGCCUGAUGCAGCGACGCCGCGUGAGGGAUGGAGGCCUUCGGGUUGUAAACCUCUUUCGCCAGUGAAGCAGGCCUGUCCCUUUUGUGGGUGGGUUGACGGUAGCUGGAUAAGAAGCGCCGGCUAACUACGUG